RNAcentral lists this long non-coding RNA (1669 nucleotides) under Sus scrofa (pig). Its description in RNAcentral is "lncRNA (ENSSSCG00025042153.1)". The record is from RNAcentral. Lineage: Eukaryota; Metazoa; Chordata; Mammalia; Artiodactyla; Suidae.
AGGCUACGCGCGUCCCUGGAAGGGAAUACGGCAGCAGGCGGUGUUUCUCUGGUGCCCAUAAAACCAGAUCCACAUGGCAGCUUGAUCUGUGGGUGAUGGGGAUUUUGCUGAUGAUUUUAAAAAUCAGGGCUAGUUUACUCUUAUUGUUUUUUGGGUAUUUUAGAAUAUACUUUUGCAUGUGGUUUUAAACUGUUGUGUCUCUAGCAGGAAUUAGAUUGAGUGCCAUCAUUUCUCUGGAGGUCACUUAGCCCCCACUUAACCAGCCCUCUCUGCUGUCACUUUGCGCAUUCAUGGUGACUUUUGGCAUGAGUUCAUUCUUACUUUUCCCGUGGGGCCUGGCGUGGGGUGGGGUCUCCUUGCAGCAAGGUAACGUGGGAAUGCAUAUGGCACAGGUGAGGUGUCCAUCAGUAACCUGAGGAAGUGGAAAGCCACCCACAGAUUCUCAAGGUAGCCUGUGAAAUCUUCUGUUUGUCUUUAAGAAGCUGAAUCAGGACAGAAGCCAAGAGUCACCGACAUCAUUGUCCUGCUUUUCAGUAGGUUCCGAGUUAGCAGCUUGUGUACCUGCAUCUAAAUGAGCGUUGUUAGCGUAUAAUAAGUCCCAUUCAUUCUCAUGCUUGAACUGAUGGCGGGUGACCCUACCAGAUAGAUUAAGUGCUCCUUGGCAGGCUCUGCUUCCCAGAGAGUCCACGUGGCUUUCCGUUGAAAUCGUCCUGAAAGGGGCACCCGCCUUUAGAGCAGCCCUGUAUCGGGAGCGUCGUCACGUGAGUGUCCUUUGGUGUGUUUUCAGAGUUGCAGGGUGACUCUGGGAGGGCAGAGAAGAAGCACUUGUUGGGUGUGAGGCCGUGGACCGAGUGCUUUUUGCGUGUCCUCACACGUCCUCUGCGUCCACAGGUAAAGUAGGGUUUGAAUUCUCAGACCCCAUUACAGGCGCGGGCAGCGGCAGCCGUGCGUGAGCGGCCUCGCGCCUCUUGCUAGAAAGCGGCAGAGCUGAGCUGCUGACCCUGCCCAGGGCAGCUCACUGCUCCUGGAAGCGCGCCAGGGCUCCUGCGGUUCCACCCCUGGCCCCAGGGCUGAGCUUGGUUUCCUGGCUUUUCUCCUCUGGUUCUAGGGUGGUAGGACUGCCCGGGAGCUGGCCCGCCCCUCGGUCAUUCGGGAACCUCGGUGGUCAGGAAUCGGAUCGGGACGUGUUGUGAGGCUUGGUCCCAUCCUGCCCUUGGACGUGUUGUGACCUGAGGCCUGGAAACCUCGCAGACUGGAGGCUGUGGGGGGGCUGCCCUUUCUGCCGGCAGUGGGGCGGUUUGCGCUCUGUCGUUGGCGCGGUGGCUUUCAGUGCCCUCCUUCCAGCCCGUCGCUGUCCUUUCCUCCUGAGAUACCAGUGCUUCAGGUGCCCAGAUUUCUGCACACCCGCUGGCCGCUAGAGCCAACUCACGCAGGUAGACACGCAGAGGUUGCCUGUUUCUUGUUGUGGCCCAGUGGGUUAAGAACCUGACCUAGUGUCUGUGAAGAUGCAGGUUUGAUCCCUGGCCUUGCUUAGUGGGUUAAGGAUCUGGCCUUUCCAUGAGCUGUGGUGUAGGUUGCAGACGCGGCUCGGAUCUGGGGUUGCUGUAGCUGUGGUGUAGACCUUGACUGCAGCUCUGAUUCGACCCCUAGCCUGGGAACUUCCAUAUGC